UCUAUCCUGAGCAGCCAUAUCACAAAAUAUAUUUAUUAAGUGGAUCAAAGAAGAAGGAAAAAAAAUAAGGGGAAAAAAAUAAAAGAAAAGAAGAAAAGAAGCCUUUUUCUUUAAGCUUCAAAACAUAAACUGCCUGAAUUAUCACUUCUUAUCCACAUGGAUACCUUGUUCUGCCGUUUUCGCUCAAUUUGAACCCGGUCAAAUGGCUUGUAUCGAUAAUUAAAACCUUUCCACCUAUUUUGAGGGGGGAAAAGAUGAAAAAGGGAUGAGCAAUUGAAGAGAACAUUGAAACUACAGUGCAGCAGUUAGUACAUGUCAAGUGAUGAGGGAAAUGAAUUACAAUAUAUUUAAGUUUCUGUUCUUCCAUGUGUGAACAUUGCCUCUAAAGUCCAUAAUGAGACAUUCAUAGUAUAUAUGAUCCAAGGCUUGGAUAGCAAGAAAGAAGCAAAAGAAGCAAAAACAAGGCGUUCUAGCAGGGGCAGCAGUUUUUCACAGAAUAGUACAUGAUUGUGCAUGUACAAGAGCCAAAUCACAUAGCCUGAGCAUGUAAUUUUCAGCCAGCUGUGUAAAGCUGUGUUUUUAGAUUUAAUUUUGAAGUCCAGCAAUCCUAGAGUGACUUGGACUUCCUAUUUUAACUACUAGGGGUGUGCAGUUCUGGUUCAAUUUAGGAUCUGCCUAGGAAACGGAAUCGAACCGAAAUUUCGAUACAGUUCCAAUUCCGGUUCGGUUCUUCAUUGUUUCGAAUCCAGUUCAGUACGAUUCUUAGUUCUUCGGUUCUAGUUCGAUUUAGUAUAGUUCCAGUUUGAUUCUCGAUUCUUGAAACAAUUUUAUGUAAUUAUUUCCUUAAAAUGUCACAUUUAGUAUUUAAGUUUUGAAUUGGGUUAUU
Molecule: unclassified non-coding RNA, 886 nt
Filed under: Hevea brasiliensis (rubber tree)
Lineage: Eukaryota; Viridiplantae; Streptophyta; Magnoliopsida; Malpighiales; Euphorbiaceae
Source: RNAcentral